CAUUAAAUGGCUGAAGUUUAAAGCAAUAGCCUCUUAAGCUAAUUUAUAAAGUAAAAUCUUUUUUAAUGA
Non-coding RNA from Varroa destructor (honeybee mite), 69 nucleotides. NCBI's taxonomy places the organism in Eukaryota, Metazoa, Arthropoda, Arachnida, Mesostigmata, Varroidae. The record is from the annotation of a RefSeq genome assembly.